RNAcentral lists this ribosomal RNA (251 nucleotides) under Neoboletus sp. 'flammeus'. RNAcentral's name for it is "5.8S ribosomal RNA". The stretch from base 95 to 249 matches the Rfam family "5.8S ribosomal RNA". From Rfam's summary of the family: 5.8S ribosomal RNA (5.8S rRNA) is a component of the large subunit of the eukaryotic ribosome. It is transcribed by RNA polymerase I as part of the 45S precursor that also contains 18S and 28S rRNA. Functionally, it is thought that 5.8S rRNA may be involved in ribosome translocation. Lineage: Eukaryota; Fungi; Basidiomycota; Agaricomycetes; Boletales; Boletaceae. The record is from RNAcentral.
UAUGUUUUUCACAUCACACCCGUCGGUAUGUCUAUAGAAUGUAUUGAGAACGUCGACCUGUCUGACAGGCUGGCGGUCCAUAAUGAAAUCAUACAACUUUCAGCAACGGAUCUCUUGGCUCUCGCAUCGAUGAAGAACGCAGCGAAUUGCGAUAAGUAAUGUGAAUUGCAGAUUUUCAGUGAAUCAUCGAAUCUUUGAACGCACCUUGCGCUCCUUGGUAUUCCGAGGAGCAUGCCUGUUUGAGUGUCAUU